This 786-nucleotide non-coding RNA is filed under the name Omophron limbatum. The record is from RNAcentral. Lineage: Eukaryota; Metazoa; Arthropoda; Insecta; Coleoptera; Carabidae.
UUAAAGUUUAAUUUAAGUUUUGUAAUUUAUUUAAUUUUUUUUUUACAUGUAAAUUUUUGUGUGAAAAUAAAAAAGAUUUAAAAAAUUUUUUUUAUGAUUUAUAUUCGCAGUAUUUAAUUUUAAUAAUUUAAGUAAUUAAGAAUUAUGAAUAAAUUUUAAUAUUAACAAAUUUUGUGCCAGCAGUUGCGGUUAAACAAAAAAUAUAAAUAAAUUUUAUUAGUAAGUAGUUAAAUGAAUUAAGUUAAAAUAUAAAAUUAUUUUUAUUAGGUGAAAUUUUAAAUUUAAUUAUAAUUUUUAUUAAAGAUUUUUUUUACUAUGAAAUUUAUUUUUAAACUAGGAUUAGAUACCCUAUUAUUUUAAAUGUAAAUAAGUUUACUAAAGUAGUAAUAGUUAUGUUCUUUAAAUUUAAAGAUUUUGGCGGUAUUUUAGUCUAUUUAGAGGAACCUGUUCUAUAAUUGAUAGUCCACGAUUAACUUUACUUAAUUUAUAAAUUUGUAUAUCGUUGUUAUAAUAAAAUUUUAAAAGAAAAUAAAUUUUUAAUAUUUUUUAUAAAAAAAUAUAUCAAAUCAAGGUGCAGUUAAUAAUUAAGAAGAAAUGGGUUACAAUAAAUUUAUUUAAAUGGAUUAGAAUAUGAAAAAUUUUAUGAAGGUGGAUUUAAUAGUAAUAUAAUUAAUUUAAAUUAUAUGAUUGUAGCUCUAAAAUAUGUACAUAUCGCCCGUCGCUCUUAUUAUAAGAUAAGAUAAGUCGUAACAUAGUAGAUGUACUGGAAAGUGUAUCUAGAAUGAC